GGCUCGUUGGUCUAGGGGUAUGAUUCUCGCUUUAGGUGAAAGAGGUCCUGGGUUCAAAUCCCGGAAGAGCCC
This 72-nucleotide transfer RNA is filed under the name Salmo salar (Atlantic salmon). It matches the Rfam family "tRNA". From Rfam's summary of the family: Transfer RNA (tRNA) molecules are approximately 80 nucleotides in length. Their secondary structure includes four short double-helical elements and three loops (D, anti-codon, and T loops). Further hydrogen bonds mediate the characteristic L-shaped molecular structure. tRNAs have two regions of fundamental functional importance: the anti-codon, which is responsible for specific mRNA codon recognition, and the 3' end, to which the tRNAs corresponding amino acid is attached (by aminoacyl-tRNA synthetases). tRNAs cope with the degeneracy of the genetic code in two manners: having more than one tRNA (with a specific anti-codon) for a particular amino acid; and 'wobble' base-pairing, i.e. permitting non-standard base-pairing at the 3rd anti-codon position. Lineage: Eukaryota; Metazoa; Chordata; Actinopteri; Salmoniformes; Salmonidae. The record is from Rfam by way of RNAcentral.